AGUAAUACAUCGGAACGUGUCUUCUAGUGGGGGAUAACUGCCCAAAGGGCAGCUAAUACCGCAUGAGACCUGAGGGUGAAAGCGGGGGAUCGCAAGACCUCGCGCUGGAAGAGCGGCCGAUGUCCGAUUAGCUAGUUGGUGAGGUAAAGGCUCACCAAGGCGACGAUCGGUAGCUAGUCUGAGAGGACGACCAGCCACACUGGGACUGAGACACGGCCCAG
This 221-nucleotide ribosomal RNA is filed under the name uncultured bacterium. Its description in RNAcentral is "partial 16S ribosomal RNA". It matches the Rfam family "Bacterial small subunit ribosomal RNA", at positions 109 to 334 of the family's 1533-position model. The record is from RNAcentral.